UAGGGAAUCUUCGGCAAUGGACGAAAGUCUGACCGAGCAACGCCGCGUGAGUGAAGAAGGUUUUCGGAUCGUAAAACUCUGUUGUUAGAGAAGAACAAGGACGUUAGUAACUGAACGUCCCCUGACGGUAUCUAACCAGAAAGCCACGGCUAACUACGUGCCAGCAGCCGCGGUAAUACGUAGGUGGCAAGCGUUGUCCGGAUUUAUUGGGCGUAAAGCGAGCGCAGGCGGUUUCUUAAGUCUGAUGUGAAAGCCCCCGGCUCAACCGGGGAGGGUAAUUGGGAACGGGGAGAAUUGAGUGCAGAAGAGGAGGAUGGAAUUCCAUGUGUAGCGGUGAAAUGCGUAGAUAUAUGGAGGAAAACCAGUGGAGAAGGCGGCUCUCUGGUCUGUAACUGACACUGAGGCUAGAAAGGGUGGGGAGCAAACAGG
This 429-nucleotide ribosomal RNA is filed under the name Gemmatimonadota bacterium. RNAcentral's name for it is "Gemmatimonadetes bacterium partial 16S ribosomal RNA". It matches the Rfam family "Bacterial small subunit ribosomal RNA", at positions 355 to 776 of the family's 1533-position model. The record is from RNAcentral. Lineage: Bacteria; Pseudomonadati; Gemmatimonadota.